RNAcentral lists this ribosomal RNA (541 nucleotides) under Metschnikowia koreensis. RNAcentral describes it as "LSU rRNA". It matches the Rfam family "Eukaryotic large subunit ribosomal RNA", at positions 1 to 559 of the family's 3401-position model. Lineage: Eukaryota; Fungi; Ascomycota; Pichiomycetes; Serinales; Metschnikowiaceae. The record is from RNAcentral.
CUCCUUCCUCAUCUUCGUAAGACUACCCGCUGAACUUAAGCAUAUCAAUAAGCGGAGGAAAAGAAACCAACAGGGAUUGCCUCAGUAACGGCGAGUGAAGCGGCAAAAGCUCAAAUUUGAAAUCCUCCGGGAAUUGUAAUUUGAAGGUGGGGUUGAAUAGGUCUAGAUACUUUAAGUCCAUUGGAAAAUGGCGCCAUGGAGGGUGAUAGCCCCGUAAAAGUAUUCAAACCUUCUUUUCUUCCCCUCCUAAGAGUCGAGUUGUUUGGGAAUGCAGCUCUAAGUGGGUGGUAAAUUCCAUCUAAAGCUAAAUAUUGGCGAGAGACCGAUAGCGAACAAGUACAGUGAUGGAAAGAUGAAAAGCACUUUGAAAAGAGAGUGAAAAAGUACGUGAAAUUGUUGAAAGGGAAGGGCUUGCAAGCAGACACAACCUCGGUUGGGCCAGCAUCGGAGUGGGGGGAGACAAAAAAGGUUAGGAAUGUAGCUCCCUUUAGAGUAUUAUAUCCUAGCCCUAUAUCUCCCACCCCCUUCCGAGGCCUGCGAU